CAUUACCGAGUUUACAACUCCCAAACCCAAUGUGAACGUUACCAAACUGUUGCCUCGGCGGGAUCUCUGCCCCGGGUGCGUCGCAGCCCCGGACCAAGGCGCCCGCCGGAGGACCAACCAAAACUCUUAUUGUAUACCCCCUCGCGGGUUUUUUUAUAAUCUGAGCCUUCUCGGCGCCUCUCGUAGGCGUUUCGAAAAUGAAUCAAAACUUUCAACAACGGAUCUCUUGGUUCUGGCAUCGAUGAAGAACGCAGCGAAAUGCGAUAAGUAAUGUGAAUUGCAGAAUUCAGUGAAUCAUCGAAUCUUUGAACGCACAUUGCGCCCGCCAGUAUUCUGGCGGGCAUGCCUGUCCGAGCGUCAUUUCAACCCUCGAACCCCUCCGGGGGGUCGGCGUUGGGGAUCGGCCCUCCCUUAGCGGGUGGCCGUCUCCGAAAUACAGUGGCGGUCUCGCCGCAGCCUCUCCUGCGCAGUAGUUUGCACACUCGCAUCGGGAGCGCGGCGCGUCCACAGCCGUUAAACACCCAACUUCUGAAAUGUUGACCUCGGAUCAGG
Molecule: ribosomal RNA, 552 nt
Filed under: Trichoderma harzianum
Lineage: Eukaryota; Fungi; Ascomycota; Sordariomycetes; Hypocreales; Hypocreaceae
Description: eukaryotic LSU rRNA
Rfam family: 5.8S ribosomal RNA (bases 207-360)
Source: RNAcentral